Molecule: ribosomal RNA, 253 nt
Filed under: uncultured bacterium
Lineage: Bacteria
Description: partial 16S ribosomal RNA
Rfam family: Bacterial small subunit ribosomal RNA
Source: RNAcentral
UACAGAGGGUGCGAGCGUUAAUCGGAAUUACUGGGCGUAAAGCGUGCGUAGACGGUUAUCUAAGUCGGAUGUGAAAGCCCCGGGCUCAACCUGGGAAUUGCAUUCGAGACUGAAUAGCUAGGGUACGGUAGAGGGAAGUGGAAUUUCCGGUGUAGCGGUGAAAUGCGUAGAUAUCGGAAGGAACAUCAGUGGCGAAAGCGACUUCCUGGACCAGUACCGACGUUCAGGCACGAAAGCGUGUGGAGCAAACAGG